Oreochromis aureus is the source of this 709-nucleotide long non-coding RNA. RefSeq lists it as uncharacterized. Lineage: Eukaryota; Metazoa; Chordata; Actinopteri; Cichliformes; Cichlidae. The record is from RefSeq and is a predicted model, not a curated record. The transcript is spliced from 3 exons.
AAAACGCACACAUAAGAAAAGCCGACCCACUUCAGUACUGGGAAGAACAUCCUAAUCUGUUUCCCUCUAUGGCUGCUGUUGCGAUCCCAGUGUGCCCCCUGUAGCUCUGUGGACAGUUUUGGAUUUGUUUACAUCUCACCCAACCGCUCACGGCAGAUGGCUGCACCUCUCUAAGCCUGGUUCUGCCUGAGGUUUCUUCCUGUUAAAAGGGAGUUUUUCUGAACACACUCUACCACCAACAAGGACAGCUCACCAGUGGGAACUGAUAGAUAAGACUGCUGAUGCGCUCUCAUCCAUUGAAGAGCUGACCAGAAACGUGAACAGAGAGACUGAAACUGCACCUGAUGGGAUCCCUGCCAUAACAGAUGUGUUCUGUCCAGUGAAGGCAGUGGAGAAGCCCUACACUGAUCUUGAAACUGUGCCACGCUAGUAGAGACUGGCUACAAGGAUGGGCAGCUGUUUUCGCAAAGUCAGCCAACCACUUGCUUCCAAAUGACCCUUGUCCAGAAGUAUCCGUGAGUGCCUCAUCAACAGAAACUAAAGUGGAGACCUACCUCUCAGAGAAAAACGCACACAUGACAAAAGCCGACCCACUUCAGUACUGGGAAGAACAUCCUAAUCUGUUUCCCUCUAUGGCUGCUGUUGCGAUCCCAGUGUGCCCUCCUGUAGCUCUGUGGACAGUUUUGGAUUUGUUUACAUCUCACCCCAA